Sciurus carolinensis (gray squirrel) is the source of this 2847-nucleotide long non-coding RNA. RefSeq lists it as uncharacterized. The record is from RefSeq and is a predicted model, not a curated record. Lineage: Eukaryota; Metazoa; Chordata; Mammalia; Rodentia; Sciuridae. The transcript has 6 exons.
GCGCGGCCACCUGACCCUGGGCGCCGUUGUUAUUAGGCGCGGCGAGGCGGGCGGCGCGCGGCAGCAGGGUUGGGCUCUGGCCGGGAGUCGACUGAGGGAGCGAGGGCGGGGAGCGCGCGCGCGCGCUGCGCGCCCUCGUCCGGACCGUCUGCCGCGGCCGCUCGCGCUCUCGCCUCCCGCCUCACACCACGAUUCCGUUCAGCCCCCUCGGCCCUUCCCUCGCGCCUCCCUCGCCGGCCCUCAGAAUGAAGGUUGGUCUCUGGACUCUCCUUGCUCCUCAGCCGAGAAGAUGAGCUGGGAACCCUUGAUCUAAACAUCAGAACUACUAGAGAUCUGUUGCCUGGAGAUGCUUGAACUGUAUAAUUGCUGUGGAUCUGGCAUCUAGAGCAGCCUUUUCCAAGUAAUGGAACUGUCAACCGAGACUCUCAUGUGUGCCUCCCUCACCCCUACCUCUCUGCUUGCCAGAAGUCAACCUGGAGACAAGAAUUCAAGUGCAGGUGGUUUAUUUUGGAUAUGAUUCCAGAAACACUGGUAGGAGAAAGCAGAAGUGAGACAAGGAAAGGAAGAGCAUAUUGAUAUUAAGAAAAUAUUUUACAACUAAGACAUCAAAAGAAGUGGAGAUGCUGAGGAAUUCUUUGGCUUUAAAGGAUGAAUUCAAGUACAUAAUGAGGACCUGUGUGACAACCAGAUUCCAUAUAACAAUUAGAAUGUUCCAGCACAGAUAUACAUACUUUAGACCUCGUCUGGGGAAAAUGCUUAAAGAACAGGAUGACUGAGCGAGCAGCCGGAGGGAGCCUGAGGAUCCAGCGGCCCCUCCUCCAGGAUGGAGGCAGCCAAAUAUCAGGCCAGGGGAGGCUUGCCUGGCACAGGUGCCGCCUGCUGUGCAGCCCGAGGACUCAGACCGGCCACACUGGAGUCACCUGGUGUGCUUGAAGAAACCCACGCCUGAGCCUUGGUCCAGAGAUUCCUGGCAGAAGUGGGGAAAGGCGAGGACCCGGCACCUGUGUAGUUUUGGAAGAGUUCCCAGGGGCCUGAUCUGGCCGACGCACCCCUCAAACUCAGCUGGAGGACCAGGCUGAAUGGAUCCCCAGGAAUGCUUUCAUAACACCCCGUACUUCUACAGGCAUCCCCAGCCUCUGCACAGAGUAAGUGCUCAGCAAAUCAUUCAGUGACUGGAUCCUCAGUCUCUCUCAAGAAAACAGCAAGACUCUGAGCGGAGGACUACCUCUGAAGUCACGUGGCGGCAGGGUCCAGGUGGAGCCUAGCCUGGGUCUUCCUGACCUGAGCUGCUGCUCUUACUGCUCUGGGCUCCUUGGGCAUGGAGGGGCCCUCGCCCCUGCCAUCCUCACAGACUCUGCCCACAGAGGUGAUGGCAAGCACCACCCUACCCCCUUCACGUCUGCUCUGCCGACUGCACAAGGUCACACAUCCACGUGUUCACUGCCGUCAUCUGUACCAUGCAUUCACGUAUCAGAUGUUUAUGGAGCCUAAUCAUCCACAGGUCACUGCAUAAUCACAAAGGUACAGCAGCUUACAAAACAUACAGGCCGCCAUCAGGGAGCAACCACGUAAGGAAGCUAGACCGAGUCCAAUCACACAGAUGAACUGUUGUGUGACUGUCCGGAAGAGAGCACCACGGAGGCAGUCAAGAAGGCAGAGUGAUGGGAAGCAAGGAGCAGAGCCCCCACCCAGCAGCAGCCUCCCCCUUCCUUCCUAGCAGAGUCCAGUGCAUUCGUGUGUCACCCCCUCGGGCUCUCCCAGAGCCUCAGGAGAAACCACCCGAAUGCUUAGAUUCAGGAGUUGGUUCACGGGUAAAUCUGUCCCUCACCAGGAUGACUUAGGAGGGAGCACAGGGCCCAUUUCAGACCCAUCAGGCAAAGGUAAUGCCACUAGGGAGGCAGUGACUUCUAGGGAAGGUGACCUUGCUUUAAAGAGAAAGCCACAGAAGCAAUGGUCUCUCUCCUCCCUCUGGACACCCUCCUGUCUGGGUGUGAUGGAGUUGCUGUGGCAGUCACUCCCAGCCUGAGGAUGAAGCCAACACCUGAUUUGGCUAAGCAGAGACAGGGACAGAACUGGGACCUAGUGAUGCCCCUGGGCAGCUGGAAAGACCAGACCUGGAGCUCUCUGACUUGUGUCAACGUGACUUCAGUGAUUAUUUAAUUUGUCUGCUUUUAUAACCAAAAGCACAAAAUUGACACAGGGACGUGAGCCUUUCCUACUUCUCUCACUGCCCCAUCCCUAGCUCCUACCACAGUGCCUGGCACUUAACAGAUCAUCAGAGUGAUCCAUUGUGGACCUGUGAUUGUAUCCAGAGCUGAGCAGCACGGAGAGGUCAAGAGGCAGAGUGACAGGAAAGGAGCAGAGCCCCCACCCAGCAGCAGCCUCCCCUCUUCCUCCUACAGAGUCCCUGUUGCCCUGGAGUGAGUGGUGUCAGUCAGACCUCCUGUGAUCGGGCUGGAGACAUGGCUGUGAGUUCAGUGAAGGGAAGGAUCCCCGGGGGUGGGGGACAACCCGAGGGGAGCAAAGUGGUAGGGGAGAGCGGGACAUCCUGACCCAGCUGACACAGGCACCCAGGCCCUUGCCCAAGAGUCGCACCUGCUGGUCCAGUGGAGCUGGCAGAAGCAGGCACAGAAGUGAUGAAUCAAAGGCCCUGGGUGGGGCACCAGUGACAGGGACACAAGUGAUAGUCAAGCAAAGCCUAGGCAGCGCUCCACCAUACCCCUCUGCAGCCAGAGGGGUGGUCUCCUGUAGCAGAAUGACCAAGGGCAGGCUCCCCGUCUUACUGAAAUGAAAAAAAAAAAAAAAAAACACUUUGCAACAUCAAAAUUAUUGUUGUACUUCAUUACU